AGAGUUUGAUCAUGGCUCAGGAUGAACGCUGGCGGCGCGCCUAAUACAUGCAAGUCGAACGGAGUGUGUUCUCGUAACGCACUCAGUGGCGAACGGGUGAGUAACGCGUAGGUGACCUACCCCGAAGAGGGGGAUAACAGCCCGAAAGGGCUGCUAAUACCCCAUGUGGUUCUGUGGGUUAGAGGCCGCAGAACUAAAGGCGUAAGCCGCUUCGGGAUGGGCCUGCGUCCCAUCAGCUAGUUGGUAGGGUAACGGCCUACCAAGGCGAUGACGGGUAGGGGGCCUGAGAGGGUGGCCCCCCACACUGGCACUGAAACACGGGCCAGACACCUACGGGUGGCAGCAGUAGGGAAUAUUGGGCAAUGGGCGAAAGCCUGACCCAGCGACGCCGCGUGCGCGAUGAAGGCCUUCGGGUUGUAAAGCGCUUUUGGAGGGGAUGAGGAAGGACAGUACCCUCCGAAUAAGCCUCGGCUAACUACGUGCCAGCAGCCGCGGUAAAACGUAGGAGGCGAGCGUUAUCCGGAUUUACUGGGCGUAAAGCGCGUGUAGGCGGUCCGGCAAGUUGGAUGUGAAAUCUCUCGGCUCAACCGGGAGAGGUCGUUCAAUACUGCUGGGCUAGAGAGCGGUAGAGGGGGGUGGAAUUCCGGGUGUAGCGGUGAAAUGCGUAGAUAUCCGGAGGAACACCAGUGGCGAAGGCGGCCCCCUGGACCGUCUCUGACGCUCAGACGCGAAAGCUAGGGGAGCAAACGGGAUUAGAGACCCCGGUAGUCCUAGCCGUAACGAUGUGGACUUGCCGUUGGUGGAUAAAAUCCAUCAGUGCCGAAGCUAACGCGAUAGUCCACCGCCUGAGACUACGGCCGCAAGGCUAAAACUCAAGGAAUUGACG
Molecule: ribosomal RNA, 886 nt
Filed under: uncultured Chloroflexota bacterium
Lineage: Bacteria; Bacillati; Chloroflexota
Description: bacterial SSU rRNA
Rfam family: Bacterial small subunit ribosomal RNA
Source: RNAcentral